Molecule: transfer RNA, 85 nt
Filed under: Felis catus (domestic cat)
Lineage: Eukaryota; Metazoa; Chordata; Mammalia; Carnivora; Felidae
Rfam family: tRNA
About the family: Transfer RNA (tRNA) molecules are approximately 80 nucleotides in length. Their secondary structure includes four short double-helical elements and three loops (D, anti-codon, and T loops). Further hydrogen bonds mediate the characteristic L-shaped molecular structure. tRNAs have two regions of fundamental functional importance: the anti-codon, which is responsible for specific mRNA codon recognition, and the 3' end, to which the tRNAs corresponding amino acid is attached (by aminoacyl-tRNA synthetases). tRNAs cope with the degeneracy of the genetic code in two manners: having more than one tRNA (with a specific anti-codon) for a particular amino acid; and 'wobble' base-pairing, i.e. permitting non-standard base-pairing at the 3rd anti-codon position.
Source: Rfam by way of RNAcentral
GCCUGGGUGGCUCAGUCGGUUGAGCACCCGACUUCAGCUCAGGUCACGAUCUCGCGGUCCGCGAGUUCGAGCCCCGCAUCGGGCU